RNAcentral lists this ribosomal RNA (747 nucleotides) under uncultured bacterium. RNAcentral describes it as "bacterial SSU rRNA". It matches the Rfam family "Bacterial small subunit ribosomal RNA", at positions 8 to 794 of the family's 1533-position model. The record is from RNAcentral.
AGAGUUUGAUCAUGGCUCAGGAUGAACGCUGGCGGCGUGCCUAAUACAUGCAAGUCGAGCGGUAAGGCUCCUUCGGGAGUACACGAGCGGCGGACGGCUGAGUAACGCGUAGGAACGUACCCCAAACUGAGGGAUAACUGCUCGAAAGAGUAGCUAAUACCGCAUGUGCUCUACGGAGUAAAGCUACGGCGGUUUGGGAACGGCCUGCGUACGAUUAGAUGUUGGUGAGGUAAUGGCUCACCAAGUCGACGAUCGUUAGCUGGUCUGAGAGGAUGAUCAGCCAGACUGGGACUGAGAACGGCCCAGACUCCUACGGGAGGCAGCAGUAGGGAAUUUUCCACAAUGGACGAAAGUCUGAUGGAGCAACGCCGCGUGCAGGAUGAAGCCUUCGGGUUGUAAACUGCUUUUAUCUGUGACGAAUAUGACGGUAGCAGAUGAAUAAGGAUCGGCUAACUCCGUGCCAGCAGCCGCGGUCAUACGGAGGAUCCAAGCGUUAUCCGGAAUUACUGGGCGUAAAGAGUUGCGUAGGUGGCAGAGUAUGUCUGUAGUGAAAGCGUGUGGCUCAACCAUAUACACAUUACAGAAACUGCUCAGCUAGAGGGCGAGAGAGGUUACUAGAAUUCCUAGUGUAGGAGUGAAAUCCGUAGAUAUUAGGAGGAAUACCGAUGGCGUAGGCAGGUAACUGGCUCGUCCCUGACAUAAGGCACGAAAGCGUGGGUAGCAAACGGGAUUAGAUACCCCGGUAGU